Molecule: ribosomal RNA, 301 nt
Filed under: uncultured bacterium
Lineage: Bacteria
Description: partial 16S ribosomal RNA
Rfam family: Bacterial small subunit ribosomal RNA
Source: RNAcentral
CAGUCGCCGCGGGAAUACGAAGGUCCCGAGCGUUGUUCGGAAUCACUGGGCGUAAAGGGAGCGUAGGCGGCGUGGUAAGUCAGAUGUGAAAUCCCGGGGCUCAACCCCGGAACUGCAUCCGAUACUGCCGUGCUAGAGGAUUGGAGAGGUAGCUGGAAUUCUUGGUGUAGCAGUGAAAUGCGUGGAGAUCAAGAGGAACACUCGUGGCGAAAGCGAGCUACUGGACAAUAUCUGACGCUGAGGCUCGAAGGCCAGGGUAGCGAAAGGGAUUAGAUACCCCCGUAGUCCCUGUCUCUUAUAU